Capsella rubella is the source of this 636-nucleotide long non-coding RNA. RefSeq lists it as uncharacterized. The transcript has 4 exons. The record is from RefSeq and is a predicted model, not a curated record. Lineage: Eukaryota; Viridiplantae; Streptophyta; Magnoliopsida; Brassicales; Brassicaceae.
GAGAUUGGGGUAUUGUAGAAACUCUGCAAAUUUGGGAUUUACAGGGAAGCUAAAGUGUUACUAAGUAAUGUCUUCUACAAAACCAAAGGGAGCAGUCGUGAAUUUGUUGGUUUUGACACUGAAGCUGUUGAGUUAUAAUACGGUGCAUAUGGGAGCGUGCAGCAGAAUUCUUUGCCAAGUUACGAGAUAUUUCCCUCAAGGAUUUCAUCCGUAACAGGAAAGUGAGAGUGUCGGGUUGCAGCCUUACAGUAAGCCUCUUGUUUCUAAUGCGUCAUAGAUACUUGAAACUGGUGUUUGGAAUGAUCACAAAACCUGAAAGAAUGUGUCUUUGAACCGGGAUUACAAAACUUGUACUCGGCAGCUGGGCAUGAAGGAGGAGGACUUUCCAUGCGGAAAUGGUGAUGGACAUGGUACUGGGAAAACCGUCACAGGUAGGGACGCUGUUGUUGAAAAAAUAGAUGCAGUUUGGUUUAGUGAAGGCACUGAAUCCUCUUGAGCAUUGUUGUUGCUGAAAUGGAUUCUCAAAAGGAGUUUGGUGUCUAAAUGUUUUGAGGAAUGUUUGUCUUAGGCAUCGUUGUCUAUGGUCUAGUAUCGUUUUGUUUUCUAUGUUUAUUUAUAAUUUUUCGUUUGGAGUGU